ACUGAGAAACAGUAUUUUAACACUAACGGCGUGAUCUUAUCAACUUGUAAACCCUAAUCAGACUUUCCUCUUCACUUCUUCUACACCACAUUGACACCUUCCUGAACCAACCUCCAUCUCCAUCUCCAUCACCACAUCGACCACCGCCCUCCAUCAUCGUCCUCAACCCCAAACGCCGUCGCACCCCGCCACCCACUCCGUCGCACACAUCCGCCUCCAUCUCCAUCACCACUUCCCCGUCGCUGGUUCCGACCACCACGGCCUCACCCGUCUUCUCCAACCACACCGGAACCACCACGCACCACCGUUCGCCCUCACCUUCGCCUCCGGUCUCCGACAUCAGUUCCAAAUAAUUUACACAACCACAAAUUCACUCAGUUUAACGAAGCUUCCAAUUCGUGAUUUUGCUUUACUGAUUCCGUUUUAUUCAGGUUAUGUGUUAGAUUUGGAUAUCUGACCUGGCCACACGCAUACUUCAAGGAACUCUUUAAUCGGUUACGACUUUCAUGGAUUUAGGAUUUGUGUGUGUUUUGAAUUGAUUCGACGGUCAUUUGGGUGUAUGUUCUAUAUGAAUUUCCGCUUAUGCUGUGGGUUUUGGACGUAAGAGCUUGAUCAGGAUCUAUAUUGUUUGCGUUUU
Molecule: long non-coding RNA, 637 nt
Organism: Helianthus annuus (common sunflower)
Lineage: Eukaryota; Viridiplantae; Streptophyta; Magnoliopsida; Asterales; Asteraceae
Exons: 2
Source: RefSeq, a predicted model, not a curated record